Molecule: ribosomal RNA, 422 nt
Filed under: uncultured Pedobacter sp.
Lineage: Bacteria; Pseudomonadati; Bacteroidota; Sphingobacteriia; Sphingobacteriales; Sphingobacteriaceae
Description: bacterial SSU rRNA
Rfam family: Bacterial small subunit ribosomal RNA
Source: RNAcentral
UAAGGAAUAUUGGUCAAUGGAGGCAACUCUGAACCAGCCAUGCCGCGUGCAGGAAGACAGCCCUCUGGGUCGUAAACUGCUUUUAUUCGGGAAUAAACCUACUUACGUGUAAGUAGCUGAAUGUACCGAAGGAAUAAGGAUCGGCUAACUCCGUGCCAGCAGCCGCGGUAAUACGGAGGAUCCAAGCGUUAUCCGGAUUUAUUGGGUUUAAAGGGUGCGUAGGCGGCCUGUUAAGUCAGGGGUGAAAGACGGUAGCUCAACUAUCGCAGUGCCCUUGAUACUGAUGGGCUUGAAUACACUAGAGGUAGGCGGAAUGUGACAAGUAGCGGUGAAAUGCAUAGAUAUGUCACAGAACACCGAUUGCGAAGGCAGCUUACUAUGGUGUCAUUGACGCUGAGGCACGAAAGCGUGGGGAUCAAACA